UCGGCUAGGGGGCCAUCCCGGCUUACCAACCCGAUGCAAACUACGAAUACCGAAGAAUGUUAUCACGGGAGACACACGGCGGGUGCUAACGUCCGUCGUGAAGAGGGAAACAACCCAGACCGCCAGCUAAGGUCCCAAAGUCAUGGUUAAGUGGGAAACGAUGUGGGAAGGCACAGACAGCCAGGAUGUUGGCUUAGAAGCAGCCAUCAUUUAAAGAAAGCGUAAUAGCUCACUGGUCGAGUCGGCCUGCGCGGAAGAUGUAACGGGGCUAAACCAUGCACCGAAGCUGCGGCAGCGACRCUUAUGYGUUGUUGGGUAGGGGAGCGUUCUGUAAGCCGUYGAAGGUGUGCUGUGAGGCAUGCUGGAGGUAUCAGAAGUGCGAAUGCUGACAUAAGUAACGAUAAAGCGGGUGAAAAGCCCGCUCGCCGGAAGACCAAGGGUUCCUGUCCAACGUUAAUCGGGGCAGGGUGAGUCGACCCCUAAGGCGAGGCCGAAAGGCGUAGUCGAUGGGAAACAGGUUAAUAUUCCUGUACUUGGUGUUACUGCGAAGGGGGGACGGAGAAGGCUAUGUCAGCCGGGCGACGGUUGUCCCGGUUUAAGCAUGUAGGCGGAGGUUCCAGGUAAAUCCGGUACCUURUUAACGCUGAGGUGUGAUGACGAGGCACUACGGUGCUGAAGUGAUAAAUGCCCUGCUUCCAGGAAAAGCCUCUAAGCAUCAGGUAACACGAAAUCGUACCCCAAACCGACACAGGUGGUCAGGUAGAGAAUACCAAGGCGCUUGAGAGAACUCGGGUGAAGGAACUAGGCAAAAUGGUGCCGUAACUUCGGGAGAAGGCACGCUGAURUGUAGGUGAAGCCCCUGCGGGCGGAGCUGAAAUCAGUCGAAGAUACCAGCUGGCUGCAACUGUUUAUUAAAAACACAGCACUGUGCAAACACGAAAGUGGACGUAUACGGUGUGACGCCUGCCCGGUGCCGGAAGGUUAAUUGAUGGGGUUAGCGGCAACGCGAAGCUCUUGAUCGAAGCCCCGGUAAACGGCGGCCGUAACUAUAACGGUCCUAAGGUAGCGAAAUUCCUUGUCGGGUAAGUUCCGACCUGCACGAAUGGCGUAAUGAUGGCCAGGCUGUCUCCACCCGAGACUCAGUGAAAUUGAACUCGCUGUGAAGAUGCAGUGUACCCGCGGCAAGACGGAAAGACCCCGUGAACCUUUACUAUAGCUUGACACUGAACACUGGUCCUUGAUGUGUAGGAUAGGUGGGAGGCUUUGAAGCGUGGACGCCAGUCUGCGUGGAGCCRACCUUGAAAUACCACCCUUUAAUGGCUGGUGUUCUAACGUAGACCCGUWAYCCGGGUUGCGGACAGUGUCUGGUGGGUAGUUUGACUGGGGCGGUCUCCUCCCAAAGAGUAACGGAGGAGCACGAAGGUUGGCUAAUCCUGGUCGGACAUCAGGAGGUUAGUGCAAUGGCAUAAGCCAGCUUGACUGCGAGCGUGACGGCGCGAGCAGGUGCGAAAGCAGGUCAUAGUGAUCCGGUGGUUCUGAAUGGAAGGGCCAUCGCUCAACGGAUAAAAGGUACUCCGGGGAUAACAGGCUGAUACCGCCCAAGAGUUCAUAUCGACGGCGGUGUUUGGCACCUCGAUGUCGGCUCAUCACAUCCUGGGGCUGAAGUAGGUCCCAAGGGUAUGGCUGUUCGCCAUUUAAAGUGGUACGCGAGCUGGGUUUAGAACGUCGUGAGACAGUUCGGUCCCUAUCUGCCGUGGGCGCUGGAGAAUUGAGGGGGGCUGCUCCUAGUACGAGAGGACCGGAGUGGACGCAUCACUGGUGUUCGGGUUGUCAUGCCAAUGGCACUGCCCGGUAGCUAAAUGCGGAAGAGAUAAGUGCUGAAAGCAUCUAAGCACGAAACUUGCCCCGAGAUGAGUUCUCCCUGAGACUUUAAGUCUCCUGAAGGAACGUUGAAGACGACGACGUUGAUAGGUCGGGUGUGUAAGCGCAGCGAUGCGUUGAGCUAACCGAUACUAAUGAACCGUGAGGCUUAACCUU
Molecule: ribosomal RNA, 2037 nt
Filed under: Enterobacter hormaechei
Lineage: Bacteria; Pseudomonadati; Pseudomonadota; Gammaproteobacteria; Enterobacterales; Enterobacteriaceae
Description: partial 23S ribosomal RNA
Source: RNAcentral